Molecule: long non-coding RNA, 4736 nt
Filed under: Daucus carota (carrot)
Lineage: Eukaryota; Viridiplantae; Streptophyta; Magnoliopsida; Apiales; Apiaceae
Description: long non-coding RNA (DCAR_LNC006375)
Source: RNAcentral
GAUACUGAAGUUUUGUUUGAACACUUUCCUGACACCCCCUACUCGGAGAAUUUUAGCUCCCAACCUUAACUUUCCCCUCACUGUUUCACUCAACUUAGGUCCAAUUUUCACUGCAUAAGUUGAAACAAAUAUCAUUUAAGUAACAAACUGUAUACAAGAAUCAGUAACAAAACCAGAUGAUAUUUGACAUUUCUUAAGCUCAGAACUAACCAUGAUCCCGAAUGCCUUGAGCAAAAUUCUCCACUUUCAUACCAAGUUUGUUUAUCCCAUCCUUCAUUAACUCUAUCGUGCCUGCAGUUUCAAGAAAACGCUUAAUUACAAAAGGAUCCGGUGUAGCUUACAUAAACAAUAAAAAAUGUAUGUGUGUACAUAUGAUUAAAAUUUUCUCUUUACAUUUCGUGUACUAAAGAAAAUAGGUACUUAACUCUGUCUAAAUUUUGGAGAUGCAUAAUAUUGAUUGCAAGCGAUACAUAAAGAUCCUUCCCGAGGCAUCUCAGCUGGAUAUACUGUUGAGCUGAUCGGAAUUCCAAUAACUUGUCCUGGAAUCUGGUUCUUCAUUUUUAAAUUUUUACGAACUGCAAAUUGCUUGGUUCUCUGUAAGCCUCUGGUUGAUCUUUACUUGUUUUCUGAUGUGCCUUGUAGGAUGAAUUACAACAACGCGUCUUACAUGGUAUUUAUAGCGCAAUUGAGAAGGUUAGUGGUAUUUAACUUUACGCUGCAUGACUCAUGUUUGGCUCAUCUAUGAGACAAAUGUGACGAGGCAUGCAUAUUUUAAGAUAAGACAUGAUAGAAAAUUUAUGCCCUGCUUUGUAAGCAAGCUAGCCGAAGGGUCUUAAGUCCCUGUCGGUAUACGUAGGUAUUUCCCUAUUUUGUACAAUUUUGUUAUAGAGCAACAGAAAGUUCAGGGCCUGGAAGUUAGCUGAACUCAAAACCGAGCAGAAAGUAGUUGUUGCUAGUCUGAAACACAGUUAAUGGUUUAAGAGAGCUUGCUUUAGCACUUGAAUCGCGGAAAAAUUAGAACGUUGAUCGAGUUGUCAGAAGAAUCUGGCUAAAUAUCAGACAGAAAAUAAAAGAAAAACAAAAAAUCUUGCAUAGUACAGGGACUUUUAAUCAUGCCAAGCAUGAUACUGAUAGAUCUUCUUGUACAAAGUUGAAUCAAUCAAACCAUCUGAUGUUUGGUCAAAACAAGUAAAAUAAUCUCAUAGUGUAUAUGAUUUUAUUAAGGAAAGGAAAGAGUAGGUUCAUCACAUGCAAGUCAUAAACAGCUGGUGCAAAAGUUUCAAAUGCUUAUGUGGACUGUCAUCAAUCUUUAAUCCUUUUGUAUCAUGCAUUUUCUUUAUCUUGAUGUCAUUGUUAUAUUGUAAUCUUUGCUUAUUAAAACAUUACUGUAUUAGUUGGUAAAUUAAUCCCUUUAAUGUUGUUCCUCUAAUAUAUAAGAACGUGUAGGACUGUAAAUAGUUUAGGAUAUCCAGUGGUUGAUAAAACUUUUAGCGGAUCAGAUCCUUUUAAUUAUGGCAAACAUAUCUUACAAAAAAGUUUGGCAUAUACUGCAAUAGAAUUCCAUCGAUGUAGAGAAAGUCUUACACGGACCCUGGGACUAUAACUAAUCUAAAAAUUAAUACAAUAAAGAUUGUUUUAAAGCAAUUACAUAAAGAAACAAGCUCUGUUAUUCGCAUAAUCCCAUGAACCGCAUAAAAACAAGCUCUAUUAUUCACAUCAUUUAUAUCACUUGGCUAUACGUUUAAUAAGAUAAAUUCAAGAUUAAUUUCAUAACCUCUUCUGUAAUGAAUAUUGAUGUACGGUAAAGGUCCAAAAGUUAUUUACUUUGUAACAUCUUCCAUAUUAAUAUAGUUAUACAACUAUACAUUAAUACAAAUAUGAUUCAUGUAUAUAUAUAGUCAUUCCUUGUGCUUCAUUUUCAAAACUUAAUAUAAUAUAAUUUUACUGCAUCAUCUCAUCACAAAAGGUAGAAUUUUUAUACUACUUGCUUCACAGAAAAUGAAAAAUUCCUCUGUUAUGCUUUUCAUCUCUCUUGCGAUGAUAUUGGCGAUUUCAGGUUAGUUCAUUCCUGCAAAAAAUAUUUUAAUCUCCUUAAUAUUUCCAUCAAUAUAGAUAAUUUAAAGUUACAUCAUGUGCAGGUUUAAGAUUGUCAAAUGGUUUAGCUGAAGGGAUAGUUGCUCGCGCUCCAUACCAUGCAGGGGCUCCAAACCAUAUAUUGAACGCAUACGAUUGCAGUAAAGAUGAAAGCAUAUGCAGCAAACGUUGUCCGGGAUUUUGCUUCUAUUGCUAUUGUGAUAAAAUAUCUAAAACUUGUAAUUUUCAUUGUGAAUUGUGAAUAGUAUAAUUAUUGAGCCAAGGGCUUAAUAAAUGAUUUACCACAUUUUUAUGAAUUAAUAAGGCAAGUCUUUAUCUCAAUUGGUGAUUGUUUUUAUUUUCAUUGUACUAAAAUUGAGUAUAAGUGUCUUUCAUAUUUUUUAAUACAUCCUAUAAUCGAGAGGGACUACAAGAUUAAGAUGCGUUUAAGAACUAUGAUUGGGAGAGUGACCAUGACAAUAAUAGCUUUAGAAUGCCUUCUAAGAAUUCAACAAACUUUAGUGAUAAUGAACAAGAUUAAUCUAACAUUAGCCUAAAUAAGGUUUUUUUUUAUGUGUAACAGUUUGAAGGAUGCGAUCAUUAACUAUGUUGUUGAAAAUAAAAGGGAUAUUUAGUUUGCUAAGAAUGAUUUGUAGAUGGUUCAGUCUAAGUAUGGGGAGAAUGUCCUUGGUAUUUAUAUUCCAGCACGAUUGAUGUUGAUGGAAUUUUAGACCAUAAGCUUAGCUUUGUGUGGUCUCUGAUUGGAUGGCUAGGAAAUUUGGAAAUCAUAUGAGAUUUAAUCUUAAGUGGAAGCCGAGAGAAAUUCAACAACACCUAAAUGAAGUCCACGGUGUGUUAAUUUUGAAAACCAUUGUUAAUUAGCAAGAAAAUAGCAUUGUCUAGAAUUGAAGAUGAUAUUGCUAAACAAUAUAAGAGAUUAUAUGAUUAUGGAGUUGAGGUACUGGGAUGAGCGUGCAUAUCCAGGUCCUGCUCAGGCUUCAUUGUUAGCACCUUUUUGCUCUGGGCGAACCCAACUGCAUUUUGGUGCACUGCCAACAAGAUUCAAUCAGAACUUCAGUAUUUGAUUACAGUAAGCAAGUAGCUGCAAAUAUCAGAAUGGUUGAACAUCUUGAGUUAAACAUCAAAAAAAUUUCAAUUAUUUAAAUAAGUUUUUUAAUAGAUGUUAAUUAAGAGUAGAUGUAUUCAGUGAUAAAAUAAGGAUUUAAAAUGCUCACACAAUGGAAUCGGAACUGAAUCUUUUGAAUACAAUUAAUAUAAUUUAAUGGCUUGUAAUCUCUCUAUAAACAAUGAGAUCUUAUAGAUACUGAAAAUCUUAUAGAACUGAAUCUUUUGAAUACAAUUAAUAUAAUUAUGUGAUUGUUUACGUUAUUUAAUAUAAAAUUAAUUUACAAACAUAUAUUAAAUUAUUAAUUAUAAAAGAAAACUACACAAGUUCAAUUAUAAUGGCAAUGAACAUUUAAUUCUUAUUAGAUAUUUACAUAAUUUUUUAUAUAAAAAGUUAGAGAUUUGAAGAUAAAUAAAUAGACAAACAAUUUAUUUAAUAAAACUAAGUAUAAUAUAUAGGGUCGCGCUCAAGAGAGAACCGGUGCUUAAAAUAGAACCAUAGAACCACUAAGGUUCUGCUGCGGAACCCUAAAUUUUAAAUAUAUUUUUAGGAUCUAAAUCUAAAUACAUGUUUUUUUCAUAUUUUUUCAUCGAUGUGUGUGUUAAAAAAUAAUUUUAAAAUCUAAUACAUAGAUAUUGACAUUUUUUGCAUGUGAAGUUCUGCUGCAGAACCCUAACUCAUACUUAAGUUCUGCUGCAGAACCCUGCCAAGGGUUCUAUGGUUAUCUCUCUAAUGGUUCUCUCUAGAACAUGACCCAUAUACAUAGGAGUUUAUGAAAUUUGGGCCCCUUGAAAUUUGAGGCCCUGUGCAAAUGCUCCACUUGCACAUGUUAAUAGCCGGCUCUGAUCUGAGUUCAGUGCUGACUGAAAUAAUCUUUGCAAGAUAACAUUGCCAGUUUAUUUACUGCAUCAAACAGAUGGAAAUGUAUUUUACAUGAUGGAAUGCUAUUUAUGAAACAUGGGAAGAAUGAACGUUCGUGUCGUGGUCAUUGAGAUUCAUACACUGCUAGCUGAAGAAACUUGUAAGUUCUCUGAUGGUUAAGAAAUCCCAUGAACCAAAACUCAUAGUCAUCCUCUGUAACUAUAUCUAUAUACUUUCUUGAUGGAUCUUGGACAUUUUCACUUUCGUUUGCUCUUUUUAUCUUGUUCAACGGAACUGAAACCUUGUAAUGAAUCCGAAUUAAAUCCCCUGUUGAAGUAGAGACCUUGAUUGAUCUUUCACUGCAGAAUGCAAUUCUAUCGGUUGAGAUAAAUAGUAAUCCGGCUAUUGGACCAGCAGUUGUAGAUAAAUAGCAUUGUGAAGCCUUCAAUAGCUUUUCUCCUGAUCUGAUACUGAAGUUUUGUUUGAACACUUUCCUGACACCCCCUACUCGGAGAAUUUUAGCUCCCAACCUUAACUUUCCCCUCACUGUUUCACUCAACUUAGGUCCAAUUUUCACUGCAUAAGUUGAAACAAAUAUCAUUUAAGUAACAAACUGUAUACAAGAAUCAGUAACAAAACCAGAUGAUAUUUGACAUUUCUUAAGCUCAGAACUAAC